GGGGUGUCAAAAAUGAGAGAGUGUGUAUUUCAUUGUAAUAUGUCGAUUUGUUCAGAACUGGUGAAACGUUCAGAACGCUGCAGAUAAAUACAGUUUCAAGACACAAUGAUUGUGUAUUCUCCAUGACAUAGAAGAAUGUAUUUUCUGCGUGAUAUAUUUCUAUCUGAGCGUUCUGUAAUGUUGCCCCAAGUAACCACACUAUCACCUCUGUACAUUAAACUAGACAGAAACUGUUUGUCUUGGGAGUAGUGUAGAUUCAAUUAGAGAGAAACUAUUUAUCUUGGGAGUAGUGUAGAUUCAUCUAGAGAGAAACUCUUUAAAACGACUGGGAUCUUUUUCAGUCUCUAGCUCUAACCAGGUUUCUGUGAUUAGUCAAAACCACAAUUCUUAUUGGUGCACACCUUUUCUACCCAUUUCUCAAUAGUUGGUAUUCAGAUUUACCCUAUGCAGGUGUAGUAUUCAUUCAAUAGGGUUUUCAGUACAUUUAUCUAAAGCCAUCCCUUUAAAUUCGGUGUACCUUUAAUUCUAUUUUUUUUAUUUGUCCACAGACUACAUGGAGAGAACAGUUCAGAAUAUUAGGGACCAAUCAAAGAAAGCCAUCUGUAAUGAACAAAAAAAAUAAAAGCAACAUGUUAAGUGUUAGUCUUAGUUUCAUGAGCUGAAAUAAAAGAUCCCAGAAAUGUUUCAUGCGCACAAAAAGCUAAUUUCUCUAUAAUUACGUGCACAAAUUAAUUUAUUUUGAGCAUUUCUCCUUUGCCAACAUAAUCCAUCCACCUGACAGGUGUAGGAUAUCCAGAAGCUGAUUAAACAGCAUGAUCAUUACACAGGUGCACCUUGUGCUGGGGGACAAUAAAAGGCCACUCUAAAAGGUGCAGUUUUGUCGCACAACACAAUGCCACAGAUGUCUCAAGUUUUGAGGGAGCGUGCAAUUGGCAUGCUGACUGCAGGAAUGUCCACCAGAGCUGUUGCCAGAUAAUUGAACAUUCAUUUCCGUACCAUAAGCCAUCUCCAAAAUCAUUUUAGAGAAUUUGGCAGUACAUCCAACCGGCCUCACAACCUCAGACCACGUGUAACCACGCCAGCCCAGGACCUCCACAUCCGGCUUCUUCACCUGUUGGGGGUCGUCUGAGACCAGCCACCUGGACAGCUGAUGAAACUGUCGGUUUGUACAACCGAAGAAUUUCUGCACAAACUGUCAGAAUCCGUCUCAGGGAAGCUCAUCUGCGUGCUCGUCGUUCUCACCAGGGUCUGACUGCAGUUUGGCAUCGUAACCGACAGUGGGCAAAUGCUCACCUUCGAUGGCCACCGACAUGCAGGAGAAGUGUGCUCUUCAUGGGUGAAUGCCGGUUUUAACUGUACCGUCUACGGACAACGAAUACAAUUGCAUUUUUAUCGAAGGCAAUUUGAAUGCACAGAAAUCCCAUGACGAAAUUCUGAGGCCCUUUGUCGUGCCAUUCAUCCUCCUCCAUCACCUCAUGUUUCAGCAUGAUAAUGCACGGCCCCAUGUCGCAAGGAUCUGAACACAAUUCCUGGAAGCUGAAAAUAUCCCAGUUCUUCCAUGACCUGCAUAUUCAACAGAAAUGUCACCCAUUGAGCAUGUUUGGGAUGCUCUGUAUCGACGUGUACGGCAGCGUGUUCCAGUUGCCGCCAAAAUAUCCAGCAACUUCACACAGCCAUUGAAGAGGAGUGGGACAACAUUCCAACAGGCCACAAUCUACAGCCUGAUCAACUCUAUGUGAAGGAGAUGUGUCACGCUGCAUGAGGCAAAUGGUGGUCACACCAGAUACUGACUGGUUUUCUGAUCCACACCCUUAAUUAUUUUUAAGGUACAGUAUCUGUGAUCAACAGAUGCAUCAGUCAUGUGAAAUCCAUAGAUUAGGGCCUAAUGAAUUUGUUUUAAUUGACUGAGUUCCUCAUAUGAACUGUAACUCAGUAAAAAAAUUGAAAUUGUUGCAUGUUAUAUUUUUGUUCAGUGUAAAUACACUCAUAUUGGCGCCUUUUCGGCACCAAUUGGUAGAUAAAAAAGUAUUAGUAUUUAAAAAAGCACCAAGGAGAAAUAAAUUCGCCAUUUCCUGUUUGCAAAAAGUGUAAUAGCUCGCAUAAUUUCAGUUUGUGACAAAACAAGAAAGUUUAGUGUAGAGAAUCAUUGUACCAUCUAAACCGCUGUGAGAUAUAUUUUCCAUAACCAAAAAAUAUUGCAUAUUCAGCUGUUUGAAGCUGAUGUAGAAAAACCGAAAGUUAAAUAUGCACAAAUGAACGUUAAGACCGGGAGGAAUAGAAAUAGAGCACAUAGAACAGAUCUACCACUAUUUAGACUUGCUUUCAAUGAGAAUGACAGGUUACCCAAAAAGGUACAUAUUGCAGCUUUAAUGUUAGGAAAGUAUUCAUUAAUAAUAAAAAAAAACGGGUUAGAGACCCUUUAUGCACGAAAAAAAAACGGUGGUUUGAUUCAUUCGGGAAAAAUUGACACAUUCAGUUCUUCAACCCAUGGUAAUGUUGGAAUAUGUGUGUGCGUAUAACUAUAAUAGGGGAAUUAGUGUACAAUAGUAGGCUAUACACUCUUCUAUUGCCUGCAUUAACCAUGGAACUGUGUAAAUGACACAAUCAAGUGUUGCGCCAUGCUUCCGGUUCAAACUGUUACGGCUUGGUCUGCGUUCCGCUCCAUAGCGAUGUAAUUAACCAAUGUGAUCAACCACACUUCCGUGAUGGCGUUUUACCGACGAAGCAAAUUAAGGUAUUUAAUUAAAAUAUUGGAGAUUGCCCAAAGGUCAAAUUUCACAUGCUCACAUGAAAGUUUCAAGUUAAAAAUUACAAUUUAAAUUCUACAUAAUGGCACAAUAUUUCAUAAAAAUCACAUCACUGUGGGAAAGUUGAUCUGUUUCAGUUUGCUGCCAUUUUGACUGGUUUCACAUUUGUCUCCAGCGAUUUCUAAGGUAAAAACAGAUCUAAAACUAUUGCAAUUUAUAUUUACAAUCCCCUUAUUCCAACGGAUUAUUCAUUUACCAAAUUCUUAUCAAUAGCUCUUAUAAAUAUGUAAAUUAGGCCCUACAGUGCAUGAAGAAUUGUGUUAUUUCAAUCGGGGGUAAAAAAAUAAAUAAAAAAUAAGAUGUUUGUCACACUUGGAACCGACAGGUUGCUUGAUUUUAUUCAUCGUUUCAUCACGCGUAAAGGUGGUGGAAUUACGAGGGAAUUAAAUCAAGGUCAGAAUACGACGUAUCUGUAGACAUACCUCUGCCGCGCCUCAAUUUAUGCGAUCUCUACCACAAACGAAUAGCUUGGCUGAAACAUCAUCAAAUCAAAUGUAUUUAUAUAGCCCUUCUUACAUCAGCUGAUAUCUCAAAGUGCUGUACAGAAACCCAGCCUAAAAACCCCCCAAACAGCAAGCAAUGCAGGUGUAGAAGCACGGUAGCUAGGAAAACCUCCCCUAGAAAGGCCAAAACCUAGGAAGAAACCUAGAGAGGAACCAGGCUAUGAGGGGUGGCUAGGAAAAACUCCCCUAGAAAGGCCAGAACCUUAGGAAGAAACCUAGAGAGGAACCAGGCUAUGAGGGGUGGCUAGGAAAAACUCCCCUAGAAAGGCC
Molecule: long non-coding RNA, 3580 nt
Filed under: Salmo salar (Atlantic salmon)
Lineage: Eukaryota; Metazoa; Chordata; Actinopteri; Salmoniformes; Salmonidae
Description: lncRNA (ENSSSAG00000089622.1)
Source: RNAcentral